CGGUGCGAUCAUACCAGCACUAAUGCACCGGAUCCCAUCAGAACUCCGCAGUUAAGCGUGCUUGGGCGAGAGUAGUACUAGGAUGGGUGACCUCCUGGGAAGUCCUCGUGUUGCACCCC
This 119-nucleotide ribosomal RNA is filed under the name Brassica rapa (field mustard). Lineage: Eukaryota; Viridiplantae; Streptophyta; Magnoliopsida; Brassicales; Brassicaceae. The record is from RNAcentral. RNAcentral also lists the same sequence under 8 other names.